UUUGGGAGUUGGGAGGUGAGAUGAUUGGAGUGAAGAGAGUUAAUGUCAUGGAAAGGAAAAGCUGUCUGAAGAAAAAUACACAUUUUAAUGUCCCUCUUCAGCCGUGCCUGCUGAGAGCUCUCCUGGGAUGAUAAGUGAAAGUGUUUGGAUUUUUUUUAAGUUUUAAAACUCUGCCAAAGCAUUGCUCAGUGUAUCUGGGCAGCCCCUUCCGGCAAAACGCAGCAGUAGCAGAGGCAGCUUCUGAGAGCCUGGGCAGGCAGCAGCUGGCUGACCAAGUCCACUGGAAGAGAAGGCUUGUGCCAGCCGGGAGAAGGAAGCCGGGGACAGGAUGAAAGCAACAACACCUUUGCAGACAGUCGACCGGCCGAAGGACUGGUACAAGACGAUGUUUAAGCAAAUUCACAUGGUGCACAAGCCGGAUGAUGACACAGACAUGUAUAAUACUCCUUAUACAUACAAUGCAGGUCUGUACAACCCACCCUACAGUGCUCAGUCACACCCUGCUGCAAAGACCCAAACCUACAGACCUCUUUCCAAAAGCCACUCCGACAACAGCACCAAUGCCUUUAAGGAUGCGUCCUCCCCAGUGCCUCCCCUACAUGUUCCACCUCCAGUCCCACCGCUUCGACCAAGAGAUCGGUCUUCAACAGAAAAGCAUGACUGGGACCCUCCAGACAGAAAAGUGGACACAAGAAAAUUUCGGUCUGAGCCAAGGAGUAUUUUUGAAUAUGAACCUGGCAAGUCAUCAAUUCUGCAGCAUGAAAGACCACCCCCUCUCCCAACAACUCCGACACCUGUUCCAAGGGAACCUGGCUGGAAGCCUCUUUCUAGCUCCCGACUUGGAGAAGUCACUGGUAGCCCCUCCCCUCCGCCCCGGAGUGGCGCCCCCACACCAAGCUCGCGCGCCCCG
RNAcentral lists this small RNA (910 nucleotides) under Pongo abelii (Sumatran orangutan). RNAcentral describes it as "processed transcript". Lineage: Eukaryota; Metazoa; Chordata; Mammalia; Primates; Hominidae. The record is from RNAcentral.